Molecule: ribosomal RNA, 253 nt
Filed under: uncultured bacterium
Lineage: Bacteria
Description: partial 16S ribosomal RNA
Rfam family: Bacterial small subunit ribosomal RNA
Source: RNAcentral
UACGGAGGGUGCAAGCGUUAGUCGGAAUUACUGGGCGUAAAGGGUGCGUAGGCGGGGAUGUAAGUCAGAUGUGAAAUACCGAAGCUCAACUUCGGCUGUGCAUCUGAAACUGCGUUUCUAGAGGAAGAGCGGAGAAAACGGAAUUCCACGUGUAGCGGUGAAAUGCGUAGAUAUGUGGAAGAACACCUGUGGCGAAAGCGGUUUUCUAGCUUAUUCCUGACGCUGAGGCACGAAAGCAAGGGGAUCAAACAGG